Molecule: ribosomal RNA, 230 nt
Filed under: uncultured bacterium
Lineage: Bacteria
Description: partial 16S ribosomal RNA
Rfam family: Bacterial small subunit ribosomal RNA
Source: RNAcentral
GAGAGUGCAGGCGGUUUUCUAAGUCUGAUGUGAAAGCCUUCGGCUUAACCGGAGAAGUGCAUCGGAAACUGGAUAACUUGAGUGCAGAAGAGGGUAGUGGAACUCCCAUGUGUAGCGGUGGAAUGCGUAGAUAUAUGGAAGAACACCAGUGGCGAAGGCGGCUACCUGGUCUGCAACUGACGCUGAGACUCGAAAGCAUGGGUAGCGAACAGGAUUAGAUACCCUGGUAG